CUAAGCUUCCCUCCCCGAUUCUCUUAGUGUACUUCAGAUUCCACUUCCCUUUAAGCUGAACAAUCCAGCUUCAUUUCACAGCUAAACAUUCUGGGUGUUGUGUGGUGGUGCUGAUGCUGCUGAGGGUGUAAUGGGAUUUUGACAGCAGCCCAGAGAUGUACUCUAAACUUUUAUCUGUGCUUCAGAGCCAGCCUACCAUGGAAUGAAUCUUCUGAAAAUAUGAGUCAAAUGAAACUUUUCCUCCUUUAAGUUGUGGCAAGUUUUGUGUCACAGCGAUAGAAAAGCUGACGAAUACUAUAAGUUCGAAUAUGCAAAAAAAAAAAAAAGUUUUCCAGAUGGAGAAUGGAAC
This 349-nucleotide long non-coding RNA is filed under the name Heterocephalus glaber (naked mole-rat). Its description in RNAcentral is "lncRNA (ENSHGLG00000041524.1)". Lineage: Eukaryota; Metazoa; Chordata; Mammalia; Rodentia; Bathyergidae. The record is from RNAcentral.